RNAcentral lists this long non-coding RNA (4000 nucleotides) under Vitis vinifera (wine grape). RNAcentral's name for it is "long non-coding RNA (VVIN_LNC000651)". The record is from RNAcentral. Lineage: Eukaryota; Viridiplantae; Streptophyta; Magnoliopsida; Vitales; Vitaceae.
GUUUGAUGGGAUUGAUAGGCAUGAUCGAUAUGCUAACCGGAACAUUGUAUUCUUUGAUGUAAGCCUGCAGUUCUCCAUAUCUUGAUGCUAGUUUUGAUAGUUUAGAGCUUUUCUAUCGAUUGACUUGGUCAUUUUAUAUGCACUAGAUCAACAUGAAAGGCUUGGACGGAAUUCAAGGACCCAUUUAUGUGGGUACUGGGUGUGUCUUUAGAAGACAGGCAUUCUAUGGUAAUGAUGCUCCAAAAACAAAGAAGCCUCCAACAAGGACCUGUAACUGCUGGCCAAACUGGUGCUGUUGUGGUUGCUGUUUCUCUGGAAAGAAGAAAAAGAAAACCACAAAGUCCAAGUCUGAGAAGAAGCAGAAGAAGUUUAGGAGAUUGGAUUCUGGAGCACCUGUAUUUGCUUUAGAGGGCAUUGAGGAGGGCAUUGAAGGUAAAAACUAUCCUUUUAAAUGAUUUUGUUAUCAUUUUAAGGUCUUUUUUUGAGCUUUGUUUAGGAAAAAUGACCUAAUUCCUGAAAUAGGCUUAGUUUUGUUAAACACAAUGGAUACUAAUUGGAUGGCUUCCUGAUGGAUAUAUGGUAAGCUGAUAAAGAAUCUUCAUAUGGCCUGGUUGGUGAUUGCCUAGUUUAAAUCUUUCAUGAGUUUCCCAGUGAUAAUUCACUUUUAUAUUUAAUUCUGGGGACAACUCAAUGCUUUAUUAGAGAGUGUAUUCUAGUAAAAUUUUAAGAAUAAUCACUUUUAAUGGCAAUUAUAGUUUGGUUGAGGUCUUAGGCCAGUUACCUUACAAAGAAGCUAAGGAGUUUGUGCUUAGGUUGAAGAGAAAUAUUUAUAAGAAAUUAUUAUAUCGAUGCAAUUGAUUUUCCAUCUGAUAAAAUAAGUAAAUAAAUUACAUUCAGAGCAUUAUAAUAUAACUUUGACUUUGGUCAAUUAUCCUAUUGGAGACUCUUCUAUUUUCAUUGUAACCAUUGCAAUUAGAAAAGAAUUGUGUAUGUGUUUUUAUUUUUAUUUUUUCUGUUUUUUUUUUUUCUCAUAAGACAACCCUUGAAUUUCAUUUUAUAGACGAAGUCCUGAGGCAAAUAUCACAUGCUGUGAUUGUUAGUUUCAAGAAUUAUAAAUAAAGUAAUUCUAGGGAAUUUAUGCUUCCAGUGAGUCAUGGCCAUUGAAGUCCUGCUCCCUUAGAUGCUUUUGAAACAUACCCCAAGCUACAACCAAUAUUAGAAUGUUCACCAAAAGCUUUAAGACAAAGGCUGAAAGAGGGGACACUCCCAUAUGACCUCUCUCUUCAUUUGAUACAUCUAUAUAGCUAUUUUAUCAAGCUAAGCAUCUACCGAAUCUAUAACACAAUUUAUCUCCAAAUUUAAUGUAAUUUCGGGCUGUGUCCUGGUCAAAGUUCAACCCCUCUAACAAAUAAUAUUGGCUGCAUAUGGAGGCCACAUUUGGGGCCUCACAAAUAUGUCAGGCAUGUUUUGAUUAGCAAAGUGUAGAUGUAUGUAGAAUAUGUCAGGUUCAUGGUUUGCAAACAAUAGUGGCCUCUUAAUAGCCUUGCUCUAACCUAUGGCCUUAGAGGAGAUUUAUAAACAAUUGUUUGAUAUGUUACUUUUCCUAGUUUCAGGAUCUUAGUUGGGGACCUUCUAUUUGGGGUUCUACUUCCACUCUGGAGCCUUAUUCCAUCCUUUCUGUACUGUUUAUUGACUGAGGAAAACUUAUAUAUAAGAGAGACAAGUGCUAAUUUCUAGGACAAUCUGGUUAAUAAAUUAUGAAAGGAAACUAUACAAAAUCGGGAAAGGUAAAAUACCAAGUAGGAAAAAAAACUAAAACAUAAUCAAAGUCAAAAUAUGCUCCCUUAAUUAGGCAUGCAAUCUGGUAGAAUCAGACUCUAAAUCAGGCAGUUUACAUCAACUUCUUCAGACUGAUCAUGCUUUUUUACCAUGGUGUGUUAAAUUCAGGAGCAGUUCCAUGAUUUCAUCACUCUACUAAUGGAAAUUCCAUUGCAUUUCAGUAGUUAAUCCUAGAAUUUGGCUUUGCCUCUUAAAGAGGAGAAAGUAUUCAUUUACCUUCUUUGUACUACAUCAACAUGCUGAUAUGGUACAACAAAGGUAUAGCAUGCUUUCUCCUUAAAGAGUAAGUCUUAAGUACAAUGUUGUAAGGAUUGUUUCAUGCUUUUUUACAUGGUUUAUUAGAAGGCAAUUUUUCUUGUGCAUAUUGUAAACAAAUAAAAUAUCGAUUAAAAUAAGAAAAUAUCUUAUAUAAUUCUAAAGGCACAUCUUAACCUAUAGAAUUCCUUUCAAUGAUGGAGCUGGAGCCAUUUCUUCAAUCAAAUGGUAGGCCAUUAUGUUGUUUCUUACUGACUCAACUGAUGAACUUUUUACUAUCCCCUGAUCUUUCUUUUGUCAUGUAGUUCCUUCAACUUAAUCAAAUAACUCCUUUUAGUUGUGCAAUGACUGGUGUAGUUAUAUUUGACCUGACCACCUUAGCUACCCGUAUGUAGAAACAUGUAUGCACUUCAAACCUGAUAUUUUUUUUUAGAUUUGCUACUCCAGAACUCACUCCAUGCUUACCACUGCUAUCAGCAUCGUAGCAUUAUUUUACUCAGGAAAUUUUUUGGUCUUGAGUAUUUAUUUAACUGUGGAGAAUGCCAAUUCGACCAUCCUGUUUUAGUAGCAUGAAUUUUCAAAAAAACCAUGAUUACUUCAAUUUGUUGUUAUCACAUAUUCCUUUUUGCAUAAUACAUUCUAUUUGCCUCACUUCUAAUUUUAUUAUUUAACUGUCAUAUAGGGAUUGAGAGUGAGAAGUCAACUAUGUUGUCUGAGACGAAAUUGGAGAAGAAGUUUGGGCAGUCUCCUGUGUUUGUUGCAUCAACUCUUCUUGAGGAUGGUGGAACACUGAAAAUUGCGAGUCCUGCAUCUCUAUUAAAGGAAGCUAUCCAUGUGAUUAGCUGUGGUUAUGAAGAUAAAACGGACUGGGGAAAAGAGGUAACUAUGGAUAUGGCUUGUUUUGCCCCCAAGACAUUUCAUUUUGGGGAUUCUAUUUGGUUAUUAUUUAGUACUGGUAAAUUUUAUUAAGAAAGAAAGAGUCAGAAAGGGGGCUUAGGAUCUAAUAAACCCUCAAAUUGCUAUGAGAAAGUAAUGAUAGACAGAAAUAAAAGGAACAAACAUAGACAUUGGAACGAAUGUGCCCAAUCACUAUGCAGUGUUCUAUGAAUUGCUCAAAAUAAUAAAGCAGCAAGAUCCACCAAACCAAGGUUCUUGGCUUUAUUCAUGGUCAUGAAAGCAUACUAUGUUUCUCCCCCUUAAAAAUCUGGUAUUUCUCUUUUUAAAUUUCCCAUCAAUGGGAAAAGGACUGAGUUUCCAAAUCAUGGUGCCUUUAAGACCAAAAGCCUUGAUGUGUUUACUCAAAUGAUUAAUCAACAAAGCUGAAAACACCCAUGAAAGGUAUAUAGAGGCAGGGCCCUCUGUAUUUUUUGUUUUUUUGGGUCUUUUUUUUCUCUAAAGCACAUAGUGCAAUAAAUAAGGAAAAGACAAACCCCCAUCACUAAGCUGCAGAAUCAUAUUAGUCUCCUUUAAUGGGGUUUGCCCUAGCAAGGGAGGGAGGGAACUUUUGUGCUUAGCCUCCUGCAAUUAGAUUCUUGCCAUUUUUUCUAGGUUUUGCAUUGCUCCCUGUAAGGUUACUGGCUAUCUAUUUGAUCCUGUUUUUCUAGAAAUUUCAAAACUAACUUCAUUGCCUUUUAUUCAGGUGGGUUGGAUCUAUGGAUCUGUUACAGAAGAUAUCUUGACAGGUUUUAAAAUGCAUUGCCAUGGAUGGCGAUCCAUAUACUGCAUCCCUGACAGGCCAGCUUUUAAAGGGUCCGCACCCAUCAAUCUUUCUGAUCGUCUGCACCAGGUGCUUCGAUGGGCCCUUGGUUCCGUUGAAAUUUUCUUGAGCAGGCACUGUCCCCUCUGGUAUGGGUAUGGUGGUGGUCUGAAAUGGUUAGAACGUCUUUCUUACAUCAACGCAACUGUA